This is a small nucleolar RNA of Aphidius gifuensis, 69 nucleotides long. Lineage: Eukaryota; Metazoa; Arthropoda; Insecta; Hymenoptera; Braconidae. The record is from RefSeq and is a predicted model, not a curated record.
AUUAUAAUGAUGCUAUUUAUUACCGCCCCAGUCUGAUGUUCCAUGACUGAUUGGUUUUUCUUAUCUGAU